AAAAACAUGGCCCUCCGCGUAAAUAAUCACGGAAGGUCAUACCUGCACAAUGACCUACGGGUUCAAUUGCCGCGGUAACCUGACCGUGCAAAGGUAGCGUAAUCAAUAGCCUAUUAAUUGUUGGCCUGUAUGAAUGGUCUUACGCUGGUGGCGCUGUCUCGACGGCAUUAGUUUGAAUUUAACUUUUGGGUGAAAAGGCCCAGAUAAACCUAAAAGACGAUUAGACCCUAUCGAACUUUAGGUAGAUAGGCUACUGGGGCCUUAGAAUUACUAAUUAAGAAGUGCCGGUUGAGUUUUUAAACCUUUGGUUGGGGUAACCGGGGACUAAAAGAAACGUCCCCCCUUUUUUCGUAGUAGACACCCGUAUGAUAAAGGUAAUAAAGAUUUUACCUUUAGGGCAAUCGGCCUAAAGGAAAGUAACCUAAUAGGAAAUUAUAAAAAAAUAAACAAUUUAUACAUUACUUGUAUAAUGAACCUAUGGGCCUAUAGUUUUAUGUAGGUGUCCGUUAAUUGGGAAGAGUUACCGUAGGGAUAACAGCGUAAUCUUCCCGGCGAGACCACAUUAAGGGGAAGGUUUGCGACCUCGAUGUUGGCUUAGGGCC
RNAcentral lists this ribosomal RNA (602 nucleotides) under Lottia luchuana. Its description in RNAcentral is "partial large subunit ribosomal RNA". It matches the Rfam family "Bacterial large subunit ribosomal RNA", at positions 1809 to 2544 of the family's 2925-position model. The record is from RNAcentral. Lineage: Eukaryota; Metazoa; Mollusca; Gastropoda; Lottiidae.